Molecule: ribosomal RNA, 520 nt
Filed under: uncultured Glomus
Lineage: Eukaryota; Fungi; Glomeromycota; Glomeromycetes; Glomerales; Glomeraceae
Description: SSU rRNA
Rfam family: Eukaryotic small subunit ribosomal RNA
Source: RNAcentral
AGCAGCCGCGGUAAUUCCAGCUCCAAUAGCGUAUAUUAAAGUUGUUGCAGUUAAAAGCUCGUAGUUGAAUUUCGGGAUCAAUAUGUCGGUCGUGCCUUCGGUACGUACUGGUAUCAUUGGUCUCUCCUUUCUGACGGACCAUGAUGUCAUUAAUUUGGUGUUAUGGGGAGUUAGGACUGUUACUUUGAAAAAUUAGAGUGUUUAAAGCAGGCUUUAGCUUGAAUACAUUAGCAUGGAAUAAUGAAAUAGGACGUUCGAACCUAUUUUGUUGGUUUCUAGGAUCAACGUAAUGAUUAAUAGGGAUAGUUGGGGGCAUUAGUAUUCAAUUGUCAGAGGUGAAAUUCUUGGAUUUAUUGAAGACUAACUACUGCGAAAGCAUUUGCCAAGGAUGUUUUCAUUAAUCAAGAACGAAAGUUAGGGGAUCGAAGACGAUCAGAUACCGUCGUAGUCUUAACCAUAAACUAUGCCGACUAGGGAUCGGAUGAUGUUAAUUUUUAAUGACUCAUUCGGCGCCUUACGG